Molecule: ribosomal RNA, 209 nt
Filed under: uncultured bacterium
Lineage: Bacteria
Description: partial 16S ribosomal RNA
Rfam family: Bacterial small subunit ribosomal RNA
Source: RNAcentral
UGCGUAGGUGGCGUCGUAAGUCGGGUGUGAAAUUUCGGAGCUUAACUCCGAAACUGCAUUCGAUACUGCGGUGCUUGAGGACUGGAGAGGAGACUGGAAUUUACGGUGUAGCAGUGAAAUGCGUAGAGAUCGUAAGGAAGACCAGUGGCGAAGGCGGGUCUCUGGACAGUUCCUGACACUGAGGCACGAAGGCCAGGGGAGCAAACCGG